RNAcentral lists this long non-coding RNA (254 nucleotides) under Mytilus galloprovincialis (Mediterranean mussel). Lineage: Eukaryota; Metazoa; Mollusca; Bivalvia; Mytilida; Mytilidae. The record is from RNAcentral.
GUAACAUUUAUUAAAUUUUGGAAGGCUUGGAUACGUUUAAUAAUUUUAUAACUCCAGUAGCUAAUAAACUGGGUCUUAUUAUACCUACCUUGCAUUACAAACAAUAUGGACUUUAAUCUAAAAGAAAUAAACCUUCUAAUUUCAGUGUCCUGCAGAAACUUCACAAAAAAUGUGACGGAAUGCUGUAAACAUGGAAGUGACCUUGGAUGUGUGUUUGUUAAGUGUACUGGAAAAGACAAGGCACCAUUCGAUGG